Molecule: ribosomal RNA, 253 nt
Filed under: uncultured bacterium
Lineage: Bacteria
Description: partial 16S ribosomal RNA
Rfam family: Bacterial small subunit ribosomal RNA
Source: RNAcentral
UACAGAGGGUGCAAGCGUUAAUCGGAAUUACUGGGCGUAAAGCGUGCGCAGACGGUUGCGUAAGUCAGAUGUGAAAGCCCCGGGCUCAACCUGGGAAUUGCAUUUGAGACUGCGUAGCUAGGGUGCGGAAGAGGGAAGCGGAAUUUCCGGUGUAGCGGUGAAAUGCGCAGAUAUCGGGAAGAACACCCGUGGCUAAGGCGGCUCUCUAGUACGGUACUGACGCUGAGACGCGAAAGCGUGGGGAGCGAACAGG